RNAcentral lists this long non-coding RNA (2503 nucleotides) under Lynx pardinus (Iberian lynx). Lineage: Eukaryota; Metazoa; Chordata; Mammalia; Carnivora; Felidae. The record is from RNAcentral.
UUUCAAACAAACUCUUACACUUCUUCCAGUUGAAUAGACGCAGGGAAGGCUGUGGAAGAGGGAGAGGGGCAGCCUCGAAGGCCCGGCAACCAGGCCAAGAGGAGCAUUCAAUCAGAGACCUGACAUUUGCCUAUUCCCCUCUUAUCAGAGUCGCUAAGUCACUGGGGCCUUUGUGCCGCGGAAUUGGGAAGGAAGGAAUGGCCCGGCCCAGCCAAUCCCGUGUCCGGCCCUCUGCCCAGGCGCCUGCCAUUAGCAUUUCCCUGACAUCUGACUGAUAUCUUCAUUUCACUUCGGUAAACAGGCCACCUCAAGGCCAAGGUGACAGUGACCUCUGGCGCUGCAAGCAGCACGGGAUUCUCCCCGGAGGCCCUGGUAGAGCACUUUCGCAUGGGCCAGGGCUCUUAUUUCCCACCCCGCCACCACUCCGAUGAGUGCUGACUAAAUAAAUAAAGAAAGAAAGAACCGUCCUGCAGAACAGACCGCGGGUGUGCUGGGCAGAGAAAGAGAGGUGAGGAAGGGCAGCAGGGAGGGCUGGGCGAGGCAGAGGGGGAGGCCUGACUUAGAAGGUCGCCUUUGCUUCUCUGCCACUAAGAACAAUGCAGCUGCCCAGGAAACACUACCAGAGGCAGCCCGGCUAUUAAUAGGCUGGAGCACGCGGGCGGCCAAGCUGCUGCAUUUCUGAUGUUUAAAUCUCCAGUGUGAAGUUGCUUGCAGGCUCCGAUUUUGCAAAGACAAUUAAAUAUAGAUUCUUUGGGGUGAGGGUUGGGAAGGGUGUGGGUGGAAUGUAAGCCUGUGUCGCAAUGCUAUUUAAUCCUGAGUAUUUCAGUGGGUCUACUCACAUGCUCAACAGACCUACUUGAGCACGUGAGGUGUGACAAGUGCAGGGUACAACCAGAUGAAGCCGCCCCCCCCCCUUGCCCCCAGGAAACCCAUGGCCCAGGGGGUUGCAAUCACUACUUCCUGCAGGGGCCAGGCAAACAACAUACAUAAAUGAUGCAGACGGUGUGAAACAAUAGGGAACGGUGGGGUCUGUGUAUAAAGCAUAGCUGUGUCCUCUGUACAGGCAUUGGGGGCUGCUCAGCCCCAAUAAUUAUUACUGUGCAGGCAUAACAGCCCAGUUUUGCUAUGCCUUAUGAUUUUUAUUUAUUUUACAUGUUUAUUUAUUUGGGGGAGUCGCAAGCAGAGGAGGGGCGGAGGAUCCAAAGCGGGCCCUUGGGCUCUUUGCUUCUGGCAGUGAGCCCGAUGUGGGGCUUGAACUCACGAACCAGGAGAUCAUGACCUGAGCUGAAGUUGGACGCUCAACUGUCUGAGCCACCUAGGUGCCCGAUGCCUUAUGAUUUUUAAAGGAAAGACAUACAUUUGGAAUUCCGUGUGAGGUUUUUUUUUCCUGGUUUUGAAAAAUAUCGUGUGGGCCAAACAAACCACAUCUGCAGGCCUGUUGGGCCCAGGCAAGAUCUUAUAAUAACAUAUGAUAAAAGUUGAUAUAGAAGGAAUCCCAGAAGCUGAUGAGAGCCUAGAGGUGGGCAUUUAACCCAUCCAGGGUCGGGGGUGGAUAGGCCUUCGUAGUGAAGGAGAACUGUCUGAACAAUGAUAAUGAUGGAAUAAAUCAUGGCAAAAAGUUUGGGGGAACCAUUCCAGGCAGAGGAGUAGGAAUUUUGCUGGAUACAUUGCACCUGCCAGCUAAAGACUGGUUCUCAGCCUUUGUUGCAACCAAGGGUGGCCAUCUGACAAACGGUGUCUGUCUCAUGACCUUAAAGCGUGGGGGGUUGGGUGGUAAUCUGCCCUCCCCUCACCCUCCCUGCUUCCAUAUUGCUGACUGACCUGGCCAUCAAGAACACAGAUUGUGGAGCUGGUGAUGAAACCUCUUUGGCUUUGGUUUCUGUAAAAUUGAGAUAAUAUUAUCUACCCCAUAAGAAGAUAGGUUGAAGGAUUACUGUCUACAAAGUAUUUAGAACAGUGCCUGACAUGUACAUUUGCCACCCAGGCGUUAUUCCAUCAAUACGGUUCUGCUGACAAUAUUUUGGGGGGGGGGGGGGGGGGGGCAAGAAGNUGAAAAAUUUUUGGGGGGGGGGGGGCGGCGAGCAAGAAGAGGGCUGGGACCCAGCUCCAGCCUUGCACCUGCGCUGAUUCGCACAGACAAGUCGACUGCUCUCUCUCUUAUGCCACUGCGUUCUGCACCUCUGACGCAGCAGCCCCGCUAUCCUUCAAGUGCAAUGAGUAAUUCAGAGAUCGGCUGGGGCUCUUCCGGCCUGUGAAGAAAUUGCCUCAAAUUGCCCCUCGCUGCAGAGCCUGGUAAAAUCCGGAGGGACGCUGAUACCCGGUGGCUUGUGGUUCCUGGAAGUUGUGAGCCCAGGUUUCUCUUGUGCCACCCUGUCCCACACCCCAUCGUGCCCUCGAGUUCCCACAUCAGAGACAACAAGCAGGUACCCACGGGAAGUUUGAGGGGGCUGAGUGGGCUUCACUGAAAAAGGUGGCUGAGUGCCUGGGUAGAGCAGGUAUGUGA